CCUACGGGUGGCAGCAGUGAGGAAUAUUGGUCAAUGGACGCAAGUCUGAACCAGCCAUGCCGCGUGCAGGAAGACGGCUCUAUGAGUUGUAAACUGCUUUUGUACGAGGGUAAACGCAGAUACGUGUAUCUGUCUGAAAGUAUCGUACGAAUAAGGAUCGGCUAACUCCGUGCCAGCAGCCGCGGUAAUACGGAGGAUUCAAGCGUUAUCCGGAUUUAUUGGGUUUAAAGGGUGCGUAGGCGGUCGGAUAAGUUCGCGGUGAAAUCCCGAGGCUCAACUUCGGAAUUGCCUCUGAUACUGCUCGGCUAGAGAGUAGUUGCGGUAGGCGGAAUGUAUGGUGUAGCGGUGAAAUGCAUAGAGAUCAUACAGAACACCGAUUGCGAAGGCAGCUUACCAGGCUACUUCUGACGUUGAGGCACGAAAGCGUGGGGAGCGAACAGGAUUAGAUACCCUUGUAGUC
Molecule: ribosomal RNA, 460 nt
Filed under: uncultured bacterium
Lineage: Bacteria
Description: partial 16S ribosomal RNA
Rfam family: Bacterial small subunit ribosomal RNA
Source: RNAcentral